Molecule: ribosomal RNA, 464 nt
Filed under: uncultured bacterium
Lineage: Bacteria
Description: bacterial SSU rRNA
Rfam family: Bacterial small subunit ribosomal RNA
Source: RNAcentral
GGGCCCGCACAAGCAGCGGAGCAUGUGGUUUAAUUCGAAGCAACGCGAAGAACCUUACCAGGGCUUGACAUCCCUUGACGCAUGUAGAAAUACAUGUUCCCUUCGGGGCAAGGAGACAGGUGGUGCAUGGUUGUCGUCAGCUCGUGUCGUGAGAUGUUGGGUUAAGUCCCGCAACGAGCGCAACCCUUAUGGUUAGUUGCCAGCGCGUAAAGGUGGGAACUCUAAUCAGACUGCCGGGGAUAACUCGGAGGAAGGUGGGGACGACGUCAAAUCAUCAUGCCCCUUAUGUCCUGGGCUACACACGUGCUACAAUGGCCGGUACAGAGGGCAGCGAAAGCGAGAGCUGAAGCGAAUCCCAAAAAGCCGGUCCCAGUUCGGAUCGUGGGCUGCAACCCGCCCACGUGAAGCCGGAGUUGCUAGUAAUCGCGAAUCAGCAUGUCGCGGUGAAUGCGUUCCCGGGCCUU